Molecule: ribosomal RNA, 484 nt
Filed under: uncultured bacterium
Lineage: Bacteria
Description: partial 16S ribosomal RNA
Rfam family: Bacterial small subunit ribosomal RNA
Source: RNAcentral
AUUGAACGCUGGCGGCAGGCCUAACACAUGCAAGUCGAGCGGAUGAAGGGAGCUUGCUCCUGGAUUCAGCGGCGGACGGGUGAGUAAUGCCUAGGAAUCUGCCUGGUAGUGGGGGAUAACGUCCGGAAACGGGCGCUAAUACCGCAUACGUCCUGAGGGAGAAAGUGGGGGAUCUUCGGACCUCACGCUAUCAGAUGAGCCUAGGUCGGAUUAGCUAGUUAGUGGGGUAAAGGCCUACCAAGGCGACGAUCCGUAACUGGUCUGAGAGGAUGAUCAGUCACACUGGAACUGAGACACGGUCCAGACUCCUACGGGAGGCAGCAGUGGGGAAUAUUGGACAAUGGGCGAAGGCCUGAUCCAGCCAUGCCGCGUGUGUGAAGAAGGUCUUCGGAUUGUAAAGCACUUUAAGUUGGGAGGAAGGGCAGUAAGUUAAUACCUUGCUGUUUUGACGUUACCAACAGAAUAAGCACCGGCUAACUUCGUG